UUUGUUGACUAAUUUGUAGUGAUGUUUGAUUAAAUAACUUUCGUAUUCUUUCACAAAAUAUGAAUAUCGUUCGUUCGUUCGUUCUUACCCUUCAUGGGUGCGCUGAUCCAUUAUAGGCUAAAUGAUCGUUCUGACAAUGUGUGUUUUGGAUACCUGGCUUAGAAAAUGUAAUAUCGGUUUAUUUGGGUGCAGUCAGGUUUGACGUACUCCAUCAACGUCGGUCGUAUGUUUCACUAACAAUCCCCAAAUGUUGUUUCGUUAUCUAGAUUCUAGAGCUAGACUAGAAGGUGUGGAUUUGCGACAUUGUUUAAUAUGUGCAUGUUGAGCGCUAUUAUAUUGUGGAUUUUUCGUUAUGUAGUUUUUCCUUGCCGCCAUUUUCGCUCAACGACGAAAGUAGAAUCGAUAUGAAUUAAAUGCACUUGUGUUCUCUUGGCAUAAGCCUGAGCUUUUCGUCGGUAGUAACUCAAUUUCAAUUGAUUGUUCUUAUACUUCUGCUGACCGUGCUAUAUAUUCGAUUCACGAAAAUUGCACCUGCCAAGCAGUUUCUCAUCUCUUAGUUCUUACACUAAUUGCCCGUUUAUUUCUGCCAGGGCGGAACUCUCUUGGGAAGCUCGGGACUUUAUAUGACUCAUAAUGCAUAAGAUAGAAGGCUUAAGUUUUGAGUGAUUUCUGUUGGUAUGUUCCCGCGCUGUAGCAAAUCUUUCGUUUGGAAAUGAUGGUUAGAGACUGCUUUCGUUUUCGACCUACGUUGGUCCUUGGCCUAAGCAUGAUCUAGCAAUGGCCUAUUAAUAAAUGCUCAUCGAAUCCCAAAGGUGAAGCACGAGUCAGUUAAUCAAAAUCUGAUACAGCUGUCCAUCGACGCAACCGUCAAAGCUCCUCCAGGGAAAAGAAAUAGGCGGUUGAUAUUUUUUGUUUCUUUGUACGUUCAUCGAGGUUAGACAAUUCAUUGUUCGCAUUUUUGAUAACCGAUGCAGAGCAGAGUUGGCUGAAAGCCCUUUAUUUUCGCGGACGUUAUGCCAUCGGUGGAAAUUUUGGCUUUGAUUUAAAUGUAUAUGCGCCUACGACUGCCAUAACUAUUGAUCGUCGUCGUCAGCAAAAAUUAGCAAUUGUGCAUCGAACCUCAAAACCAAAGUAUUUUGUUACGCUUAUGCCAGUCGUCCAGAACUUUUCCGAACACGGUAUGUGAUUAUUCCGUCAGCAUCUAGCGUGAAAAAUUACGCUUGCUCUUUCUUGUGCGUUUUAGCACAUUAGCUACGAAAAUUGAUCGUAAUCAUUGGCGAGAGGCGGUGAUAUGGCCAAACUUUCUAUUGAUUUUCUUCCCGCUGGCAGUCGACGACCUUUAGGAAGUUUAAAGCCGAUUUGCAUUUUAUAUAAGAAUAUAUUCUGCGGGUAAGUUACAGGCGGUCGCACUUCAGAGUAAUAAAUAUAAUUAAUCUGCGUUUGCCUUGUCGGGGCGUAGCGUGACAUAUGUUACAAAGGGUGAAGACUGACACCGUCACAGCCGCUCAUUUUUUCUCUCUCGGAGGCGACGAUAUUGAAGCGGCGGUUAGCACUUGCGCUUUUAUAAUCUGACUGUAACUCUUCAGCCUUGUAGUUGAAUGUUUCAUCAGUUAUAAGGUUUAUUAUACGCUGUACCACGAAGAAAAGACCAGUAGUUACAAAGAAUAUAAUUGGAUUUAUUUAUCCUAUUACAAAUACCGGAUAUUGCUAUAUUGCAGGGGAUUUCGUAUUAAUAGCUCGGGAAGUAUUGCGUGAACGUACUUAGAUUUACAUACAGUUUUGUAUUAUGCUUGGCACGUCCAGUACGGAUUGGACCACAUCGCAGCCUACCACUAUUUCAAACCAGCAAAUGUCUCCAAUUCCUCAGCAGAUACCAGUUCAAAUAAAACAGGAAAUCGAAGCGAAAAGCAGUACUACAACAGUGUCCAGUACAUCUGUUGUUGCGUCGGCACGUGAAGAAUACACAACUGCAGCUCAGGCUACAGCAUACCAAAUUCAAAUCCCGCCUCCGGCUUUUGGAGGAAUACCGGGCGCUAAUAUUCCUUCGCAUCAAUUUCCCCACGGUGUGCCUGUUCCAGUAUCAGGAUACCCUAUCAAUAGACUACAGAUGACCGCACAGACUAUCCCAGGGCAAGUGAAGCUUGAGUCAAUGGCACAACUUCAACAUCCAGGAAUGUUUCCCCAAGCUUAUAUUAUACCUAAUGGUCAUGCGGCACAAGAGUUUGUUCAAGCACAGCAGGUUGCGACAGGCCAAGUUGUUGGUUCAGCGGCACAGGUUGUCCCUCCACCACCCCCGGUGGAAGGAACAAUACCUGGUCAACUAGCAAUGCCAAAUGGUCAGCAAAUGGUUAUGGUUGAUCCAAAUGGCAUUCCUGGCUCAGUGGCAGCCAUGCCAUCUUUGCCAGGAAAUGCACAAGUAAUCUCCACAGCCGCAAGUACAACAGGCGAAACUCCAGGUGCAACGACGUCAUCAGCAAGUGAUGGUUCGGUAGCAUCUCAUGCCGGCGACUCCUCAGGACAAAGCAAAAGGCUGCAUGUCUCCAAUAUUCCCUUCCGAUUUAGGGAUCCUGACCUGAGAAAUAUGUUCGGGAAAUACGGCAAUAUUGCGGAUGUUGAGAUCAUUUUUAAUGAAAGAGGUUCUAAGGGUUUCGGAUUCAUAACAUUUGAAACGAAAGAAGAAGCAGAACGUGCUAAAAAAGCAUUGAAUGGAAAUAUUGUAGAAGGUCGAAAAAUUGAGGUGAAUGAUGCCACAGCCAGAGUACAGACAAAGAAACCAGCUUUACCUCUAAUUAAUGGUUUGAAAAUGGCUCAGAUGGUGCCUAAUCUGAUUGCAACCGACCCAUAUGCUGCUGCAGUAGCAAGGUUGAAUCCAGUGACAGCAAAUGCCUACAGACAAGCUGCCUUAUUAGGUGGCAGAGGAAGAAGCAUUUAUCAAACAACAGCACUCAGACCCGGUACCGCUAUUGCUGCACCACAACUCGCAGCUUUACAAUCGAAUGGACUUAUACCAGUGGUUUAUGAAAGCUAUCCAACUAUGGCUCUAUCUGGAGCAGUAGCAGGACAGGAAUUCCCACAAGCACAAACAUUCUGGCAAUCUGCCGGAAUACCAGGCCUCGCAGCAGCACAAGGUACACCUACAGCUUAUGCAACACUACAGCAAAUGCCACAGUAUGCAGCAACGAGGUACAUAGCUGCUGGCACAGGAGCAGUUGCUGCUGCACAACCGGGUGGUACACUUGCUUAUGCAGCUCUACCAGGACAAGUCACCAUGGCCCAGGCUGUUUACUCAAAUGCAGCUACUGCUUACACAACAACGGCAGGAGCUGUAGCUUACCAAGCAGGUGCAGUAGCUGGAGCCACACCGACUGCAGUCUAUGCUGAUCCAUACCAACAGGCGACGCUCACUCCAACCGCACAAGCUUCUGCUUUUGGCCUCGCUACAGUUUUGUAGCACAAAUCCCAAAUCAGUAUUUUCUAAACCGCACAUGCCAAAACUUGCGCAUUGAGGAGGCAAAGGCGUAAGGUAGACUGCACUGGCUGCUUACAGAGGAUAUCGUUUUUCACCUUACUGAUGUUGACCACGUUGUCAUGGCAAUGAUCGGCACCAAUGAUGUCAGAAAAAGAACACAAAUAUUUUCAGACAAUUUGGUGACUUUCUCCUGUUGCAUUGUCUUUUUGUGAAAGGCCAUGUUCAGCGUUGUCCGGUACAAUAUUUGUCCAGUGCUUGCUCAAUGGUUUUCAAACCCUCCAUACAUUGUAGUACAGCAUCUUGCACUUGCUCUGGUCAGAUCGCAAAUGUACAAUCAUUAUCUCCGUCCAUGGUCGACAGAUGCAGCCUGACGUCGUUCCUCCAGUCGCACAAAGCAGUACCUUAUUCUCGGUUUUAAAGACAAAUAAACACACAUAAUCCAUCCAUAUACUGUUUUAAUAUGCAAUCUUCCCGACCUUGCGUUAUAAAUAUUUCCUUUUUUACAAUUUUCUGCUUUUUGACCAUUUUUUUUCUUUGUAUUUUAUUUUUUAAACUCGUUGGAUAUUUUGUUUGCAAUCACGAGGCAGCAUUUUUGUUUUAACAUAAUAACGAGCUGAUUUUUUUAAUCAGUAAUUUGUUACUGAUCAAUUCUCGACCAACUAACGUGUCUAAACAAGAUAUAAGAUAUUCUACUUAAUCAUUUUCUGUGAGGUGUAGGCCCAUGAGCUCUGCUGUUUAAAUUGCAUUUAAAUCAAAUUUCGAAAUGAAAUUGUAUUCAGUACCCCAUUUUCUCGAUUUUGCUGUCCUAAUAAUUUGUUUGAAUCAUUACCAAUAUGACUUGAGUUUCGCAUUGAGAUGUUUCAAAGAAGCAGUGCAUUUGAUCAUAUCAUCAUUCGAAACUUAUUUUCGGACAAUUUUUCUGUCCAUAAAAUAUGUUCAAUGUUUUACUCAUAUGUACAAUGUAUGUAUUAUAUGUACAAUACUAUACGUUGCCUGUAUCAUACUAUAAAGUGAUUCAAAUUUGAAAUGCAUUUUUCUAAAGACUACCCUUUGAAUUUGCUCCUGUUUAGUUGGUUGGUCGAGCGUUAUCAACAAUGUAGAUCUGAUUUUUAUUUCUUCAUCUCUCAAUCGUGUUUCAUCUCACUACCAGCACUCUCUCUCAAUAUAUCAAAGCUGCUAGAAUGAACUUUGCAUACUUUUUAUUCAAUCUUGUUGGGCUGCUGAAUGAAAUGGAUAUUUAUAUUGUUGAUUCAUUGCGUGUUAUUUACUUAAAAGAACACAAAUUUAAUAUGACAUAUAUUUGUAUGUUAUUUUACUUGAGGUUUAGUUUAUACUAAAAGGUAUAGGCUUUCUGUAAUUUAUCCAUGGUAAUAGCAUUCGUUGUUUCCUAAUGUUACUGCUACCUAUUUAUUUGUACUUAUCACAAUUCAACAAACGUAAUUUUGCGUUUAAGUCGAGCUCAACUUCAUGUCUCAAAUUAGUAAAAAAGAAGAUUAAGAAUAGUGUUGCAGCAAAAUAUAAGUUUAUCUUUCCUACAUUGGUAUGUCAAAUCAUAGCCCAAUCUCAAAAUAGUUCGAAAAAGAUUCCCUAUGGUUGUGAAUAGCAAUGUUAUGCUGCAUAUAUUGAUAGUGGUUACUGUUGUUCUUGUUGGGAAAGCGUGCAAUGGCUUAUGCCUCCACAAGAAUUUAUAGAAGGAAUAGUUUUAUGCUUCGUUUUUAAAGAUUAUCCUGGUUUUGGCAAUGUGUUAUCAUAUUAGCAAUUAUACUUACUAAAUAGCUCAUUUACUGCCAGAUGGUUGUGUAUAUAUAUAGUUUUGGUAUAGAAUAUCAUUUUUUGCAUUUUGGUGACUUAGGGUGUAUUGCGAUUAGUUGCGUCAUUUUCCUAUUCCCGAACAUGCAAGUUGAUUUCGUGAUAAAAAUUUAUUCUUGUAAUUGACAAUUUGAACAUAUUAAAUCUGAUUAUAGCAUCAAGUAAUUCUGGAUUACUAAGCAUAAGGGCCUAAUUAAAAUUUUUAAUAAUAAUUGUGAACAUAAUGCCGUAAGUAAUUGCACUGUACAAUGGUGAAUGUAACAAUCUUCGUUUGUCUUUAUUGUAUUGGAACUAUCGAAUUCCAUGUUUGUCAAAAUUCAUGGCAAGACCAUUCAUUGUUAGACCGAGUUCACAUUAAUCAUGGACCUCUUUGAGAGAAAACAUAUGACAUUGCCUUGUGUUAUGAAUAUAUGUAGUGAGAAGAAGAUUUCUUACAUCAGUUAUCUGUAGCAAUCUUUUAUGAACUAAAAAAGUAUAUUUUAUUGUCAGAAAUGGGGAUUCUUUUUCGUCAUGGUUGCAAUCCUGGCAGAACCAUAUCUUGAAGUUUGACCAUUGAACCGUAACGUUGCUGUCAGUGGAAUCCCCAAGAAUGCUUAAAACAAUGUAAUAAUUUUGCCUUACAUGUCCUAAUGCUGACACCAAUUUUUUCAUUGCUCUUGUAUUUUUUUCUGUUUUCUUAUUGCUAUUACUUUUUAUUUUGAUGAUGAAUAAAUCUUAUAUUACGGAUGUA
Non-coding RNA from Styela clava, 6008 nucleotides. The record is from RefSeq and is a predicted model, not a curated record. Lineage: Eukaryota; Metazoa; Chordata; Ascidiacea; Stolidobranchia; Styelidae.